GUGACGUCAUCCACCCUUAGUCCCUCCCCAGACGCUGAGUCGGAGAAGCCACACAAUCCAACUUUCAGACUACAACAGUGAUCUAUCUGGUAACGCAGUCAUCACAGUUUGUGGAUGGCUUUACUGUUUCAAAUGAUCCUCCCAUAGUGCCGGCCUACUGAGGUCCUAAGAUGAAGAAGGCUGUGAUGUGCUCCCCACAGAAAACACCUGUGCUUGUUAUUACUUUGAAAUAUGAUCCCUGGUGGAAUAUUGGAUAACUUCCCAAGGAAUGAGUUCUUUGCAGAUGCUACUAUCAAGCCAUGAGAUUUAAAAGACAAGAGCAGCAGAGCCACAAAGCACUGGAGGAAGACUGCAGCCUGUCUUUUGAGAAAAGGAGGAUAUGAUCUUUUCAGGAUUUUAAGAUGCCUUGUCUAAGACUGACAUAAA
Chinchilla lanigera (long-tailed chinchilla) is the source of this 426-nucleotide long non-coding RNA. RefSeq lists it as uncharacterized. NCBI's taxonomy places the organism in Eukaryota, Metazoa, Chordata, Mammalia, Rodentia, Chinchillidae. The record is from RefSeq and is a predicted model, not a curated record. The transcript is spliced from 4 exons.